GUGUAAAUGAGGCAAACCUCAUUAACUCUUCAUCCCAAAAGGAGACCCUUUUCCAUAUGAAAUAAAAACUUGAGUUAUUCCUCUCUUAGCUUUUGGCUCAACUACGUUCCUUCAACUGCAAGUCUAUUGGUCUCAGACGUAUCUUGGAUGAUUAGUUCAACUGAUGAUGGAUGCCAUUGAAAUGGCAAGUCUUUUGUCGAAUUGACAACUCCUGCUGCAACACUACUGUUCCUUGGAGACGAGAUUAAUCCGUGCA
This 256-nucleotide unclassified non-coding RNA is filed under the name Hevea brasiliensis (rubber tree). Lineage: Eukaryota; Viridiplantae; Streptophyta; Magnoliopsida; Malpighiales; Euphorbiaceae. The record is from RNAcentral.